UCUAAGGAUGAGUGAAAGUAAAAUUUCAUUCUAAAUAAUAUACAUCGGUAAUGUUGACCGUCCUCAUUUCUCUUCUUAAAGUAAUGUUUCCUUCUUGUAGGGCCGGUAGCUCAGUUGGUUAGAGCACACCCUUGAUAAGGGUGGGGUCGAAAGUUCGAGUCUUUCUCGGCCCACCAUACUUAACUGGGGGAUUAGCUCAGCUGGGAGAGCGCCUGAUUUGCAUUCAGGAGGUCAGCGGUUCGAUCCCGCUAUCCUCCACCAGGAAACAUUUAGUUAUGAAAACUGUAAAUAAAUUUAAUAAUUAAUAUCAAUAUCUAUAUCCGAACAUUAGUAAUGUUAUUAGCUAAUGUUCAAAAUAAAAAUUUGAUUCAACACAGAAUUUUUUUCUG
RNAcentral lists this transfer RNA (389 nucleotides) under uncultured marine bacterium. Its description in RNAcentral is "partial contains 16S ribosomal RNA, 16S-23S ribosomal RNA intergenic spacer, and 23S ribosomal RNA". The stretch from base 100 to 173 matches the Rfam family "tRNA". The record is from RNAcentral.